RNAcentral lists this ribosomal RNA (447 nucleotides) under uncultured bacterium. RNAcentral describes it as "partial 16S ribosomal RNA". It matches the Rfam family "Bacterial small subunit ribosomal RNA", at positions 29 to 523 of the family's 1533-position model. The record is from RNAcentral.
AACGAACGCUGGCGGCAGGCUUAACACAUGCAAGUCGAACGCCCCGCAAGGGGAGUGGCAGACGGGUGAGUAACGCGUGGGAAUCUACCCAUCCCUACGGAACAACUCCGGGAAACUGGAGCUAAUACCGUAUACGCCCUUCGGGGGAAAGAUUUAUCGGGGAUGGAUGAGCCCGCGUUGGAUUAGCUAGUUGGUGGGGUAAGGGCCUACCAAGGCGACGAUCCAUAGCUGGUCUGAGAGGAUGAUCAGCCACAUUGGGACUGAGACACGGCCCAAACUCCUACGGGAGGCAGCAGUGGGGAAUAUUGGACAAUGGGCGCAAGCCUGAUCCAGCCAUGCCGCGUGAGUGAUGAAGGCCUUAGGGUUGUAAAGCUCUUUCACCGAUGAAGAUAAUGACGGUAGUCGGAGAAGAAGCCCCGGCUAACUUCGUGCCAGCCGCCGCGGUAA